Molecule: long non-coding RNA, 318 nt
Filed under: Setaria viridis
Lineage: Eukaryota; Viridiplantae; Streptophyta; Magnoliopsida; Poales; Poaceae
Description: long non-coding RNA (SVIR_LNC001264)
Source: RNAcentral
UAUAUUUAAGAACGGAGGAAGUAUAUGUUAGCCAACUAAUAAAUGACUCAGCUACACAGAAAUACUACACUUAUAUCAACCUACUCUUUAUUUAUGAGCUAUAUAACUCUAGCUAUUUACUUGCUUCCAAUUCCUCAGCAUCAGUUGUAUACAUAUUGAUGCUUCAGGUGUGAAGGAGAAUAAAGUGAGCACGAUAAGUUUCUCUUGUGGUAGCUAUUGGUUACGGACAAAAGUUGUGCUCACAGUUUAUAUGGCUCUACCUUCAUCUUGCCACAAGCUUCGGAAGAACAUGGGGCAUGUUUAUUUUUUGUUUGUUUA